RNAcentral lists this ribosomal RNA (427 nucleotides) under uncultured bacterium. Its description in RNAcentral is "partial 16S ribosomal RNA". It matches the Rfam family "Bacterial small subunit ribosomal RNA", at positions 355 to 774 of the family's 1533-position model. The record is from RNAcentral.
UGGGGAAUAUUGGACAAUGGGCGAAAGCCUGAUCCAGCCAUGCCGCGUGUGUGAAGAAGGUCUUCGGAUUGUAAAGCACUUUAAGUUGGGAGGAAGGGCAUUAACCUAAUACGUUAGUGUUUUGACGUUACCGACAGAAUAAGCACCGGCUAACUCUGUGCCAGCAGCCGCGGUAAUACAGAGGGUGCAAGCGUUAAUCGGAAUUACUGGGCGUAAAGCGCGCGUAGGUGGUUUGUUAAGUUGGAUGUGAAAUCCCCGGGCUCAACCUGGUAACUGCAUUCAAAACUGACUGACUAGAGUAUGGUAGAGGGUGGUGGAAUUUCCUGUGUAGCGGUGAAAUGCGUAGAUAUAGGAAGGAACACCAGUGGCGAAGGCGACCACCUGGACUAAUACUGACACUGAGGUGCGAAAGCGUGGGGAGCAAACA